CCCUCCCCGCCCCCGGCGGCGGCGGCGGCGCGGCUGCUGCUGCUGUUGUCACCCACCGGGCUGCCUGUCCCGCUUGCCCUCACCGCUGCGGGGCUUGCGUGGCCGGCCGGGCCGGGGACAGGCGGCAACCUCACCGCUGCCACCACCGCCAUGCUGGCCGCUCGUCCACCCCACUGGGGGCCCCACCGCGCCCCAGCCCCCCGUGGGCCCGGCGCCAGCCCUGACCCCGGUCUCAGCGGCGGUGGCAGCCGAGGUGCAGGAUGCGAGAAGGCGCCCCCCGGCCGGGCUCCCGCUCCAGGCCUCGCACCCCUGCGGCCCUCUGAGCCCACCAUGGCCAUCCCACCAGGCCAUGGCCCCUUCUCUGGCUUCCCGGGGCCCCAGGAGCACACGCAGGUACUGCCUGAUGUGCGGCUACUGCCUCGGAGGCUACCCCUGGCCUUCCGGGACGCGACCUCGGCCCCACUGCGCAAGCUCUCUGUGGACCUCAUCAAGACUUACAAGCACAUCAAUGAGGUGUACUAUGCUAAGAAGAAGCGGCGGGCCCAGCAAGUGCCACCCCAGGACUCAAGCACCAAGAAGGAGAAGAGGGUCCUAAACCACGGUUAUGAUGACGACAACCAUGACUACAUUGUGCGCAGUGGCGAGCGCUGGCUGGAGCGCUAUGAGAUUGACUCUCUGAUUGGCAAAGGCUCCUUUGGCCAGGUGGUGAAAGCCUACGAUCAUCAAACCCAAGAGCUGGUGGCCAUCAAGAUCAUCAAGAACAAGAAGGCCUUCCUGAACCAGGCCCAGAUUGAGCUUCGGCUGCUGGAGCUGAUGAACCAGCAUGACACAGAGAUGAAGUACUACAUAGUGCACCUGAAGCGGCACUUCAUGUUCCGGAACCACCUGUGCCUGGUGUUUGAGCUGCUGUCCUACAACCUGUAUGACCUCCUGCGCAACACACACUUCCGUGGCGUCUCACUCAACCUGACCCGGAAGCUGGCCCAGCAGCUGUGCACGGCACUGCUCUUCUUGGCCACGCCUGAGCUCAGCAUCAUUCACUGCGACCUCAAGCCUGAGAACAUCCUGCUCUGCAACCCCAAGCGCAGCGCCAUCAAGAUCGUAGACUUUGGCAGCUCCUGCCAGCUCGGCCAGCGGAUCUACCAGUAUAUCCAGAGCCGCUUCUACCGCUCGCCUGAGGUGCUCCUGGGCACGCCCUAUGACUUGGCCAUCGACAUGUGGUCCCUGGGUUGCAUCCUGGUAGAGAUGCACACUGGAGAGCCCCUCUUCAGUGGCUCCAAUGAGGUGGACCAGAUGAGUCGCAUCGUGGAGGUGCUGGGCAUCCCACCAGCCCCCAUGCUGGAGCAGGCCCCCAAGGCUCGAAAGUACUUUGAGCGGCUGCCUGGGGGUGGCUGGACCCUACGAAGGACAAAGGAACUCAGGAAGGAUUACCAGGGCCCCGGGACACGGCGGCUGCAGGAGGUGCUGGGCGUGCAGACGGGCGGGCCCGGGGGCCGGCGGGCGGGGGAGCCGGGCCACAGCCCCGCCGACUACCUCCGCUUCCAGGACCUGGUGCUGCGCAUGCUGGAGUAUGAGCCCGCCGCCCGCAUCAGCCCGCUGGGGGCUCUGCAGCACGGCUUCUUCCGCCGCACGGCCGACGAGGCCACCAACACGGGCCCGGCAGGCAGCAGUGCCUCCACCUCGCCCGCGCCCCUCGACACCUGCCCCUCUUCUAGCACCGCCAGCUCCAUCUCCAGUUCGGGAGGCUCCAGUGGCUCCUCCAGUGACAACCGGACCUACCGCUACAGCAACCGCUAUUGUGGGGGCCCUGGGCCCCCCAUCACUGACUGUGAGAUGAACAGCCCCCAGGUUCCACCCUCCCAGCCGCUGCGUCCCUGGGCAGGGGGCGAUGUGCCCCACAAGACACAUCAAGCCCCUACCUCUGCCUCGUCACUGCCGGGGCCGGGGGCCCAGUUACCCCCCCAGCCCCGAUGCCUUGGCCGUCCCCCAUCACCAACCUCACCACCCCCCCCAGAGCUGAUGGAUGUGAGCCUGGUGGGCGGCCCUCCAGACUCUCCACCUCACCCAGCACUUGCCCCCCAGCACCCGGCUGCCUCAGCCCUCCGGACUCGGAUGACAGGAGGCCGCCCACCUCUCCCACCCCCUGAUGACCCUGCCUCUCUGGGGCCUCGCCUGGGUCUCCGUGGUGUACCCCAGAGCACAGCAGCCAGCUCAUGACCCUGCCCCUCCCUGGGGCCCCUCCUGAAGCCAUACCCCCCAUCUGGGGGCCCUGGGCUCCCAUCCUCAUCUUCCCCCUUGACUGGAAUUGCUGCUACCCAGCUGGGGUGGGUGAGGCCUGCACUGAUUGGGGCCCGGGGCAGGGGGGUCAAGGAGAAGGGUUUGGCCACACUCUCCCUACCAAGGACUGAACCCUUGGCCCCCUCUCCCCCUUUGUUUUCUAUUUAUUGUACCAAAGACAGUGGUGGUCUGGUGGAGGGGAGAACCCCCCUCACCCCUGGGCCCUAGGAUGGGGUGGGGGCAGGUAGGGGGAGAUGGCCUUGCUCCUCCUCGCUGUACCCCCCAGUAAAGAGCUUUCUCACAUGCCUGCCUGAGCGUUUGCAGGGCCUUGGCUCCCCUCACCUGGCCCUCAGAGACCUGGUGGGAAAGGGUUUGGGGAAGGGAUGCUGGGAGAGCUCUGGUGUGGGUAUGUUCCUUUGGGGUAGUUAUAGCUGUUGGAACAGGCAUGGGACCGCAGGAGGGGGCUACAGAGUCGUAGACAUCCUGGAUAGGAUUCUAGCCCACAUUUGCCUUUUCUAGGGUAAACUGAGACCCUGCAAAAGUAAAGCCCUCCACCCCCCACUUAGGCUCACCUUUCUCUGGAAAACAUCAUGUUCUGCCCUCAUAAAGCCAGGGCUUCCAGGGAGCCAGCACAGGAAUGGCUCCUUAUGCCAGGCAGGCAUCCAAUUGGUUCUGGGUGCAUUUAGCACGCGUUCCUUGAUGCCAUCUGGGGAACAGGCAGGAGAUGAGUACAGACUUUAUCCCAUCCAUGUCCGGUCCUACUCCGGAAUCAUUGCAAAGCAAAGCGUUUCAAGAGUCUCAGGCAAAAAGAUACUCCCAGGGUUCCAGGUAAGUUGUCUUGUUUCCAUGGCAAUUUGGAAACUUCCGCCUCCCAACUGUCCAAUCCAGAACCGCCUGGUUCAAAGGGUAUGGACUCCUGCUGCUGGGGCGCGGCGCUUCCUGGGAAAUGGAGUUCUAUGGGGCACAAUCUUUAGCCGCUUCUCGUUAGAGAACUACAAAGACCAGAAUCCUCCGCGCAUACUUUUUGGGGCAGGCGUUCAGGUAGCCAAUCGGCAGUCAGAGGCAAGCAGGACCUUGGGUUUGUGGGACGGUCAGUAGAGGCAAAGCAGGCCGUGAUUGGGUGGUUUGCGCCGUGCUUUGCGCAGGUGUGGAGUUCUCCAGAGCGUUCGGAAAGGUGGGCCCUGACAGCGCGCAGGUUAGGCACUCGUGGUUCCGGAGUUGGCGGUAGGUGCCAAGGGCUGAAGCGCCUCCCAUCACGCGGGACGUUGCUGGCUGCUGUCUGGGCCGGCUCGCGGGAAGCUCAGGUCGGUGGAGAGACAGGCGAGGACGCCAUUAGGACCUGUACCUGUUUACUAAUGGCGAAAGCGUGGAACGCGGUGGGAACUCGGAGGAAGCACAGUGUAUUAAGUAUAAAGGAAGUCUGAGAAAUCAACAAAGUCAAGAGGAGCCUAAGGAUAUGUGAUGAUUGAAUGCAAUGCAGAAUGCUGGAGGGGUCCUGGAACAGAAAAAUAACAGCAGAGGAAAAGUAAGGAAAUCAAUUGUGAAGGUGUACCUACUAUCUUCACAACUUUUCUGUAACUCCAAAACUAUUUAAAAAUUUGUUUUGGUAAGGUGAUCCACAUUUAUUUUGGACUUACUCCGUCCCAUCUUUGGGAUGAAUAAUUUGCUCCAUGAAGCUCUAGUUCCUUUUAGUGGAUGAUGGUAUUUUGAAGUCAACAUCUGAGUGCUCUGUGUUUCGUUGUUUGUGAUUGUCAUUGUUUUAGGCCUUCUGAGCAAAGAGAGCUAUGAGAUUACCUCGUCUCACCCACAGGUAAGAGGAGAACCACUACCUCAACCAAGAGAAGGUGGGGCAAAUUGGAGACUCUGUUCAGGCAGCCAAAUGAGGAAGAGGAAAAAAUUAAAUUAUUUUGAAACAGUAACAGUAAUAACAGUUGCCACCUUUUGAGCAAGCAGUAUGUGCCAGGUAUGCUGCUACUAUUUUUCAAUUUUUCUUCUUUCUUUUACUUAAAUUUUAUUUCUAUUUGGAUAAAUUCCUAUUCAGAUUAUUUUCCCAGUUUUAGUUACUUGACUUUUAAUUAUUAUAAGAGUGAUUUUCCUGUAUUCUAAAUACAAAUCCUUUAUCAUCUAUAUGAUUUGAAAAUAUUUUCUCCCAAUUUGAAGACUGUCUUUUCACUUUCUCAAUAGUAUCCUUUGAGACUCAAAUGGUGUUUUGGUUUGGUUCGGUUGAGACAGGUUCUCUCUAUGCAUCCCAAGCUGGCCUCAAACUCAAGAUUCACCUGCCUCAACUUCCCCAAUGCUGGCAUGACAGGUAAGACUUGACUGCAUAGAAUGAACUGAAGUGUCAUCCUCUUUUCUACUUUUUGAAGAGUUUUUGAAGAAUUGAUAUUCUCUUUAAAUGCUUGGUGAAAUUCAAAGUGAAGAGAUGGAAGAUAGCCCCUGGGAAGCAGAAAUCUUUGCAUUAUAUUGACUUUCACUGAGAUGUUUUCA
Non-coding RNA from Castor canadensis (American beaver), 4764 nucleotides. The record is from RefSeq and is a predicted model, not a curated record. NCBI's taxonomy places the organism in Eukaryota, Metazoa, Chordata, Mammalia, Rodentia, Castoridae.